RNAcentral lists this long non-coding RNA (1946 nucleotides) under Heterocephalus glaber (naked mole-rat). RNAcentral's name for it is "lncRNA (ENSHGLG00000045000.1)". Lineage: Eukaryota; Metazoa; Chordata; Mammalia; Rodentia; Bathyergidae. The record is from RNAcentral.
CCACAAGUUAAGGGAGGACAGGUUCAUUUAGCUCACAGUGUGUGGAGGUUUCCGUCCAUAGUCGGUUGGCUCCAAGGCAGGGGGCCUGGCAGAGGAGGAGCAGCUCAGGGAAGCAAGGGCCCUCAGCAGCUGCUUUCUGCCACCUUUAUAGUCUUUCUUGGGUACUGGGAUCAGGGCAGGUGCACAACCAAUCAGGACUGAUUUAGUAAUCACACACCCUUAAUCCUAGCAUUGCACCAUGAAUCAGUCACACACCUUAGAUCCAGCCACCUCUGAAAAAGCUCCAUCUCUGACCACUUGAGGCUUGUGGGGACAGCUAGACACAGCCAUAACAAGGCUGGUAAAUAGAUAAAAAGUUGGCAAGCCUGAUCGAGAACAAAAGUGGAAACUUAGAAGACAAGGGAUGUAGUUCCAGGAACAGAGAAUAUUUUAAAACUAUAAAAGAAUGAUAUUGUGUGGCAAUAUUAUUCAAACAUCUAUGUGAAAUGGGUGCUUUCUAGAGAAAUAUUAGAGUUGCCUCUAAAAAAGAUACCAGGCCCCGAUGGUUUUAUGGGAGGAUUCCCUAAGCCUCAAAGGCACAGAUAAUUCCCAUGUGAAGGGAAUCAUGUUCCCAGCAUGCUCUAUGAGUGGUGUAUGCUGAUAUUAAAACAACGCAAGGAUAGGAUAAGCAAGGAAAAUGGUAAUUUCACUCUGUAAUUCAAUACAUUAGGAAAUAGAUUUAUGAAUUUAAUAUAUGACAUAAUGUUUAAUAUUUAACUCAUGUUUAUGCAUAAACGUAAGAGCAAGAAUCAAGCUAUGACAAAGCCGGGGAACUACAGUCACCAUCUCACAUCAGGAGCUGGGAUCACAGAGACCUGCAGAGCUGCCUGCGGGGAGGAGGGCAGGUCUGCUGCCAGCUCACUUGCCUCUGGUGGUGGUGUGGGCUGUGGCUGGGUGAAGUGGGGCACCCAGGAGUGUGUCUGCAGAGGCCAGUAAGGGUUUCCACCGGAAGUGAGGAUCCUGGCCGUUGACAUGGCAGUUGCUCUUGGUGAGGCAGAUGCUCCAGAAGGGGAUGGGCAGAGAAGUGGACACAGCCCAGACCUGGGAGAUGCCAGGCAUGGCUGCUAUCCUCGUCCUUGCAGGGGAGGGUGGGUGCAUCCACUUGGCCUCUUUGCCUCCGCACGGGACCCAGGAUUUGUCCUGGGGUGUCUGCAGCAGGCUGGGCACUGUGGCCAGGCUGGUGGCUUGAGGACUGGCAGGGAUGGCAAGAGACCUGAACUCUGUUGGGAGAGCCUCAGUCUUUCCCCACAUCUGUCCUCCACCUCAGCCACAGGUGUCACACAGAGAGGCCCCUGGAGCCCCUGCAGCUUGACUCUGCCCACGCGCCAACAGGGAGAUGCUUCUUCUUAUCACCCUCAUUGCUCUGACUGUGGCUGGAGUCCCAGCCCCACCUCUGCCCUCUCACCUCUCUGGGAGCAGGCGAGAGAUCAUCUGCCCAAGAGAGGACGCCUUUCCAGGGAGGAGCGCACCGAGGGGGCCCUGCCAGCCCCUGGGGUCCUCACCUUGCCUUCUUCAAGCAGGGACAGGACGGCCUUGAAGGAGGGAGGUGAGCUGUCCCUUCCACCGUGAACUCCCACCACCACGUUCUGCCUUGCCAAGAGCCCAACGGCAAGAGCCAGUGACCAUGGACUGAGCCCUCUGAACCCAUGAUCCAAGCCUUUCCUCUUUCUUGCUUUUAUUUAUUUAAAAGUUUUGGUGCUGGGGAUGAAAGCCAGGCCAAUGCUCCACACCUGAGCUGCAGCCCAGCCCUACCUUGCCUCAUUUUUUGUUGUUGUUUUUUGAGGUAGGGUCACCCUUUGCAGUUCAGGCUGGCCUCAAACUCACGGCAAUCCUCCUGCCUCAGCCUCCUGAGUGCUGGGAUUACAGGUGUGCACCACCACACCUGGCUUUGCCGCUUUUGAAGCAGA